Pelobates cultripes (western spadefoot toad) is the source of this 310-nucleotide non-coding RNA. The record is from the annotation of a GenBank genome assembly. NCBI's taxonomy places the organism in Eukaryota, Metazoa, Chordata, Amphibia, Anura, Pelobatidae.
GGAUGCAUUUCCUUCUUGAUGGUGCCAGUGAGAAGAAAAACAUAAGUUUCGUCCAUGAUGAAUCCGUAGUAUACACCCCCCUCAGGGAGUGGCAGAAGAGUGGACGGAUUGAGAACUUGACAUCUUUGGAGGGUAAUGUCGUCAGGCAACAAAAGAUGACAUUGAAGGCGAAGAUGCCUAACAGGAGUAACAUGCUUAAGUUGGACCUGGUUGACUAUGGCAGAAAUGUCAUGGGGGGCCAAGACAACCAGGGGGUGGCCAAGGACAAGAUCUCCAGUUCUUUCAAUGAGCUCUCUGGCAGCAAAGACGG